Molecule: long non-coding RNA, 4608 nt
Filed under: Triticum aestivum (bread wheat)
Lineage: Eukaryota; Viridiplantae; Streptophyta; Magnoliopsida; Poales; Poaceae
Description: long non-coding RNA (TAES_LNC016328)
Source: RNAcentral
GCCUCGAAGCAGUGUUUGUUUGCCUUCGGAGCCUCGUCCCACAAUAUCAGUGAGGUCUUCUUUACCAGUUCAGCCAAAUGUGAGCCUUGUUUUAUUUCACAUGUUGGUUCUUCCGUGAUAUUUAUUGGAAUGUGGAAUCUUGAGUGUGCUGUUCUUCCACCUUGGAGCAGCAAAGCUGCAAUGCCAGAUGAUGCUACCGCAAGCACUAUCUUUCCCUCUGAUCGUAGUUUCGUUGUAAUUGCUUUCCAUUGAUAUGUUUUGCCUGUGCCACCAUAGCCUUCUACAAAUAUCUGUUUUCCAUGUUCUCUCUCAGCUGACUCUAUUAUUGCAUCAAAGGCCAUUUUCUGGUCAUGGUUAAGAUUGCUUAUUAUGGUUUUGUGCUCACCUUUAGUGUUUCCAUGUCGUAGCUAAGUUCUUCAUUUAUCAUUCUGUUCCCAAGUUGUUCAAGUUCUGUAGCAUUUGGUAGUUCUAUGUCUGGAUAGUCCUUUAGUGUCUUUCCUGCUUGCCUCAUUAGUUUCUCUAUCUCGAUCAGAGCAUAUGCUUUUUUUUGUGAAUCAGUGAGCUGCAGCAUAGGAAAGUUUAGGAUAAUUCUUCUUUUGUACUGGAUAUCUUCAGAUAGUGCCUCCCAUGUUGAAUCCCACAACAUCUUUGGGCUGGUAACCUCACAAUGGCAUAAAAUUGUGCUGAAUAGCUGUCGUAAUUGUGUCCCGGAUCCCCAUGUUGAUGCUUCAUUGAUGCAUUCAAUCCACUCACUAUCAUCAUCAAGAAAACCAAGCGUCUGGCAUGCUGAUUUGUAUGUUGGGUGAACAACUCCAUUAACUGUUCUAAUAUCCUCAAAUGAUGUGCAUCCUUUCUUUGUGUUUAGAAGCAUUCUCAUAUAAUACCGCUCUCCACUUGCAGGUGUGCAUAGUAGAUUCAACCAAUAGCAAAGCCUCUUUUCCGCUCCUCCCAAGUUUUGGUGUCGCUUUUCCAUACAAAUUUUGAUGGCAAUUCUGCAUAGGUUAAUUCUUUUCCCACCUCAUGUAUUUUGUUUGCCUCCAUCCACUCAGUGAACUUAGUACUUGCGGUUCCUGGCUUUCUUACUAUCUUCUCGAUGUCAGUUGAGUCUGGAAAAAUAACUUGUUCAUUUUCAAUGUGGAAUGGCAGUCUCUCUACUAGUGGAUCACGAUGGUGUAGUAGAUCAAACUGGAAUAUCCGCCAGCAUGCUUCAGUUGUUGAUAUGUAUCUCAUCUCUAGGUAUUUCUUGAUUUCAUCAUAGUCGUUUGCCGCGUCUCUUUCCUUUAGUAAGGCUGUUACUUGGUCGUCGUCUUUAUGGAUGUACUUAAAUAGGUACUCCCUCCUUCCCAAAAUAUAAGGCACGAUUGACUUUUUACGGUCUUUGAUGCACAACUUUGACCACUAAUAUAUAUCAAAGUAUAUGGAUUGAACAUGUAUAAAUGACAUCGCCGUAUUUGUCUUGCAAAGCAAUUUUAUUUCAUAUGUAUGUAUACUAAUUUUAUAGACAUAUAAUACAUAAAAAUUAUAGUCAAAGUUGUGCAACGAAGACCAGAAAAGUCAAACCGUGCCUUAUAUUUUGGGAAGGAGGGAGUACUUGAUUGACCUGGACCUGUUGCACCACUCGACAUUUAUGUGAGCUCGGAAUUUGACCAAAAGGUUUCGGUUAUAUGGCACGACAAAUCUGUUGUCGAGCAUUGCUCCUCCCUUUUUGAUCGUCCUUCCAUUGUCGCGCCUUCUAUAUACUGGAAAGCCAUCCUCAUCGAUUGUGGCAUCGACAUUAUAUCAUUUUGGGAAGUGUUUAGUGCAUCUAUUGUCCAUCAUGCAUGGUGAUUUUGUAUUUGCCUCUCCGCAAGGCCCGUGCAUCAUGAAGUUUUCAACAGCUGCAUAUCCGUCAGGAUCGACAUCUUUGUCUGGGAUCUCCGCACUGAUUAUUUGAUCGAUUUCUGAUGGUCCUUUGCACUUGUAAUUCUCCUUGAGGAAUACCAAUAUGUGCGCAUGCGGGAGUCCCCUCUUCUGGACUCUAUUGUGUAGAUAACUGCAUUGAUUAAAAGUUUGAUUUUGUUAGAUUUCUGAAGAAUUUUAGUAAAUAGACAAAGGCUAUGGUGUGCUAAAAAAUUUAAACUUUAGGUUCUAUUAGUUAGCAAUGAGAAGUUGGCUGAUCUUACUUGAUAUAGUUUCUCCAAAGUGUUUUUUCACAACGAUGUCUCUCAUUAGCUCCUUCAGUUUUAUCAUGAAUACUCGGUCAAUAAUAUCUGGCGGGUCGGCUGGAUUUAGGCCUCCUCCUGGUUCAUCUAGCAUGUAUUGGAUCUCGGGCCACUUCGUGUUGCAUGUGAAUGUUAUAAACAGGUCUGGAUAUCCAGCCCAACAGCAUAUUGCAAAAGCGUCUUGCAAGUUCUGUGCCUUGUUUCUUCUGCCUCCUGUAUAAGAUGAAGAUACAAUUAUCCUCUUUCCAACCUGCUCUGUUCUGGUGUCCCCUCGCUCAAUCGCGUCCUGCAGUCCACUGUAAAGUUCACUCCGUAGCUUCCCUUGAUUAUUCCUGAUCCAAUUUAGUCUGUUUGCUCAAUGCAUGUGUAAACAUCUACCCAAAAUUGCAGAGACAGAUGUCUAGACGUUAGCAGCGACAUUCCUUGGUCGGGUCUUUGCUGUAGGUAGUAUGCGUAGUAGUCCAGCAUAGUUACAUAUUUCCUGCUUUUGUCAUCUUCUUUUGUUCGGUUGUAAGGUAUUUCAAGCUUGAAGCCGUCUUCUCCGUAUGGAAACAACAAUGGGUAUUGCAUCGACAUUAAUUUUGGAUGGGUUUCCGAUAUUCUGUGAGGCACCAUAUUUUUGUACUCGACAACGAUAUCUCGUCCUUCGCUCUCUCCAGUUAGGUCUCUUACAACCAAUGCUGCAACUUCCGAUGCAGAUGGAAGGUUGUGUGUUCCGUUCCUUUUCCCAAGUAUUCUAAGUGUGUAAUCAUGGUAGUCUUCUUCUUUGAAUCUAUCUCUUGCCAUUCUGAAAGAUUUUGCGAGGACGUUGUUCUCAUCAAGCAUUUUUUUGUAGUUCUUUGACAAUGGCAGGGUCCACAGUUGAUUUAUUAUCAUUGCAUCUUGAAGCAUCUAUCCUGUUUUGCACUUCUGUCUGAUAGAUAUAUAGCUGGGCAAAUCGAGGUUUGUUACCUUCUUCAAGUAGAAGAGUUCCAAUAUGGUGAUAGUUCUGGCCAUGCAGUCUAAAAACAUAUGGUCCUUUGCCUUUGUUUAUUUCUUUGUCAACAGUUCCACCCAUUGAUGUGAAUGAGAACAUUGAGUUGUAUGACCUGAUAUUUUCUCUGAAGUUUGUUGCAUCACUUCCUUCACCUGUUAAUAGUCCUGCGAGGUAAGGUGGAGGAUGUGCCAUCUUUGGUAGGUCAAUCUUACCUUGUUUACAGCAAAUUCCGAAAGAAGGUUUUUUGGUUCCUCUAUGAGAAUUUAAUCUUUUUUCACACCAUAGUAUUGCAUUGCAAUGUUCACAUCUAUAUGUUGGCUUUCCAAAGUUCCAUAUUUUGCUAUAAUAACUCUCGGACGUAGUGCUGCUGUUUGUUUCUUUGAUGUUGCUUCCAAGGUCAUUGUCGCUCCUACUUGUUCUUGCAUGCUUCACAUUUGUUCUUUCUUUGAUUUAUUCCUUUCUCUUCCGUGAAGCAUCUUCUUCUUUUUUAUUGGUUGUUUCCUGUGUAUUCCUGCAUCUCUUACUCCUUUUUUCUUGGAGUUGUUGUUUCCUCCUGAUAAUAGCUUCUCUAGCUUCUUUUGUAAGUUAGCCUGCGGAUUUUGACGUGUACUGUCCCUUCAUUUCUGCAUUGGAUAUUCUUUUAGCAAUAUAGUAUCAUAUAUUUAAAUUCUACUUUAUGUACAAUGUUCUCAAGAGAUUAACAAUAUAUGCAGUAAAUAAGAGAUUCUUGCUGCAUGUAGAAACAACCUAUAAUACUUAUCAUCAUGCUUUCAGGAUUAUUGUGUUGUGUGGUUGGAGCUGCAGUGGAUGGCAUUAUUGCUGUGACAGUGUGCUUGUUUCUCAGUGAACGACAGUUGCUCCAUGGGAAUUAGUACGGCGAAGUACUCUCUAAAAUCAUUUUUAGCACUAUACGUAAAAUUAUUAGGUUCUGCAAUAUUUCAAAGGGCAAUAUUUCAAAUAUAUAUGUUAGAAAAGUACCAAAAAAUAGUAAGCAUUACAUUAAAGAUAGAAAAAGGUCAACAAUAUACCUGAUUGUGUUUUCUUUUUCUUUUUAAUUUUUGUAAAGCUUCACACGCCUGAGCCAAUUAUUGUCGUAAUUGUAUCUUUGCUGCAAAUCAAAUCCUGUAGCGAUUCUGGAUUUUUUUGUAGCAAAUUAUUAAAGCAUAUCUUUGUAUUGCUGCCAUGACUUUAUCAGCCUGUGUGUCAGUUUUAGUUCACAACAGAAGCUGGUACUAUUUUCUCAAAGAAAAUAGAGUUUAUGUCAAGAGCCAAGGCAAGACGUGCGAGGAUAGUUUAUUUCAGUCAGUAUUAUAAUUAUAUGCCUAAAUGUAAAACAAUGUAAUAAUGAAUAAAAAAAUAUGAGGUUGCUUUGAAUUGAUGAUAAUAGUAGUUUUCCACGGAGAGCAUUUACCUUCUAAUCUGAAGUCUGGC